This 581-nucleotide long non-coding RNA is filed under the name Ananas comosus (pineapple). RNAcentral describes it as "long non-coding RNA (ACOM_LNC031064)". Lineage: Eukaryota; Viridiplantae; Streptophyta; Magnoliopsida; Poales; Bromeliaceae. The record is from RNAcentral.
UAAGUAAUAUUUUAAUGUUAAUUAAUUAGAUAAAAUAAUUUUAAUUUAAAAUUAUAACUCUUAUUUUUUUUGUUCCAAUCUAACCAUCCAAACAUUAUUUAUCUUAUUCCUAGGAACAACCCAAUUUUCAUCCAAACGAAAAAUUAGUCUAAUUCAUGCUUAUAUCUGAACUUGUAUCUAUUUAUGAAAUAAGCAGUUCUUAUUUAUACUGAACCAAACACAGCCUUUGUAUAUUGUAAUAUUUUUUUGUUCAGAUACACUACUCAAUUAUUAUUUUUUGAACUAGGCUAUUAUAUUAUUAAUAGCACAAAGUCCUUAGUACUAUUAAGUUUUCGAUCUUUGGAUGAAUGAAUGUGGGGUUAAGAUUACAGUGAUCCUCUAGGAUUGAGUGGGUAGUUGGUUGAAUAGUAUAAUCUAACGGAUGGAAAUGAGUAAAGGGGUAAAUUUAACGGCAAAAAACUUGAUAAUAUUAAGUGCUUGGUGCUAUUGAUAGCAUAGUAGCCGGACUCGUUUUUUUUUUUUUUUUCAAUUCUUACAUUAUAAGUAACAAACUUAUAAUUUUCUAUAAAACUAUUAAAAAA